RNAcentral lists this long non-coding RNA (318 nucleotides) under Rhinopithecus bieti (black snub-nosed monkey). RNAcentral describes it as "lncRNA (ENSRBIG00000046427.1)". Lineage: Eukaryota; Metazoa; Chordata; Mammalia; Primates; Cercopithecidae. The record is from RNAcentral.
UCAGGAGUCCCCGCCACACUGAAAACCCCUAAUCCUAAUCAAGGAAACCAAGUUUCAAGGGAUGUGGGGAGCUGGAGACAGGACAGCCCCUGUCUGCCUCAAAGGAUCAUGGAAAAGUAGAGCCUCUCCAGGCACUGUCAUCUCUCUGGAGUGCUGCAAGGAAGUUGUCGUUGUUUUUGUAUUAAAUAUAGGGCUUUAACCUACUCUGGACAUACAAAGUACCUAAUGGAGACUGUGAUGGGUGGUGACAGGAAACAUCUGGUCCCUGAGAAUGAUGAAAAGACCAUAUUUUUUCAUGAAGCCAGGGGAGGAGCGGCC